GGGAGGCAGCAGUGGGGAAUAUUGCGCAAUGGGGGAAACCCUGACGCAGCGACGUCGUGUGAGGGAAGAAGGCCUUCGGGUCGUAAACCUCUGUCAGAAGGGAAGAAAAACCAGGAGUCGAAUAGGCUUUUGGUCUGACGGUACCUUCAGAGGAAGCGCCGGCUAACUCCGUGCCAGCAGCCGCGGUAAUACGGAGGGCGCAAGCGUUAAUCGGAAUUACUGGGCGUAAAGCGUGCGUAGGCUGUCUGAUAAGUCAGGCGUGAAAUCCCUCGGCUCAACCGGGGAACUGCGUUUGAUACUGUCGGACUCGAGUCCUGGAGAGGGUGGCGGAAUUCCUGGUGUAGGAGUGAAAUCCGUAGAUAUCAGGAGGAACACCGGUGGCGAAGGCGGCCACCUGGACAGGUACUGACGCUGAGGCACGAAAGCGUGGGGAGCAAACAGGAUUAGAUACCCCCGU
This 457-nucleotide ribosomal RNA is filed under the name uncultured bacterium. RNAcentral's name for it is "bacterial SSU rRNA". It matches the Rfam family "Bacterial small subunit ribosomal RNA", at positions 343 to 791 of the family's 1533-position model. The record is from RNAcentral.